Molecule: ribosomal RNA, 482 nt
Filed under: uncultured bacterium
Lineage: Bacteria
Description: partial 16S ribosomal RNA
Rfam family: Bacterial small subunit ribosomal RNA
Source: RNAcentral
AUUGAACGCUGGCGGCAUGCCUUACACAUGCAAGUCGAACGGUAACGGGCCUUCGGGUGCCGACGAGUGGCGAACGGGUGAGUAAUACAUCGGAACGUGCCCGAUCGUGGGGGAUAACGAGGCGAAAGCUUUGCUAAUACCGCAUACGAUCUACGGAUGAAAGCAGGGGACCGCAAGGCCUUGCGCGGACGGAGCGGCCGAUGGCAGAUUAGGUAGUUGGUGGGAUAAAAGCUUACCAAGCCGACGAUCUGUAGCUGGUCUGAGAGGAUGAUCAGCCACACUGGGACUGAGACACGGCCCAGAAUCCUACGGGAGGAAGCAGUGGGGAAUUUUGGACAAGGGGCGCAAGCCUGAUCCAGCAAUGCAGGGUGCAGGAUGAAGGCCUUCGGGUUGUAAACUGCUUUUGUACGGAACGAAAAGCCUUCUUUUAAUACAGGAGGGUCAUGACGGUACCGUAAGAAUAAGCACCGGCUAACUACGUG